Molecule: long non-coding RNA, 1396 nt
Organism: Theobroma cacao (cacao)
Lineage: Eukaryota; Viridiplantae; Streptophyta; Magnoliopsida; Malvales; Malvaceae
Source: RefSeq, a predicted model, not a curated record
UAUUAAGUCUGCUUCUUUUUUUCUGAUACAAAAGAACUUCAGAAUCUCUUCUUCUGCUCUCAUACUCUUUUCUUUUCUGCUUUAUUCUAAGUCUACAUUGCAAAGAUCUUCUUGACCCCAUUUUUUUUUAUCAUCGUUUCGCCAAUAUCAUGCCAAUGCAUUCUGCUCAGGAAAGCAGGAACCGCCUUGGACGACUCUUCCAGCACAAAGUUUUCAGGAAUGAGGAGGAAGCAGCUAUAAUACAACAACAAGUAUACUGUAGAUAUCCAACUCAUGAGGCCUUAUAGUACAACUGACGCUUCAGAAGACGCUAGUUGAGAUGAUCUUUAACCCUAUUGGGGUCAUUUUGGUUGAAAUUUGAAGACAUGAUGGGAGAUUCCCAGCCUUGGACAAGGCCAAAAGUUGUUGCAGUAACUGAAACCAAUGCAUCGGCUUGUGCAGUCACAUUGGUCUGCUGUUGCAUUUGAUUCUGGUUGGCGAAAGCUUCUUCGUUUAUCAAUGAAUUCAGAAAGGAGGAGAAGACAUCAUCAGUGCAGUAAUUGAUAUCCUCAUCUUCCUCAUUGCUUAUCCCUUGGUUUUGGUUGCUUCUCAUUUCUAUUCCAGAAUCCUCGCAAUUAAGCAGACUGGUGAAUCCAUGGGCCAUUGCUGUCUCAGUUUGAUAGUGAUGAAGAGUAUUAUUGCUCUGGAAAUACUCAUUUUCUUUGUGAGCGGUGAUUUGACCGCUACUAGUCUCUUCCAAGCUGGAAGAAGCAGGAUUAUUUGGCUUAGGGAUUGUAGCACCCCCACGGUUUGCCUUGGAGGAAGAAGAAGCUUUGAGAUCGCUUGGUGACUGUUGAGGGUUUAAAGGCUUGUGGGUUCUUGGAUCUAUUCCUUGGUUGAUCAACUUCUUACUCAGGGAAAUGUUGAACUACCGAUUGCCCAGAAGGCGAUGAAGGCGCAGAAUGAGAUCCUCCUCAUCAGGGGCGAUCUGCCCUCGUUUCACGGAGGGUCGGAGAUAGUUCAUCCAACGGAGGCGACAGCUUUUGCCGCAACGCAGGAGCCCCGCCCGCUUCGGCAGAGUCCGCCACCGUCCUUCACCUUCCCUCUUGAUGUAACUGGCCAAUAACUCAUCCUCUUCUGGGGUCCAUGGCCCCCUCUUCAGCCCUACCUUGAUGCAGCAGGGAGUCUUGGCUCCGCUGUUGUUUCUUGUCGUUGUCGUCGUUAUUUUUGUCGCCGGCGUUGUUGCUGUGGCUGGGUUUCUCAUGUUUUGGGUUUGAAGUACUAGUUAAGUUUCCUCAUCUAUUAUAAAUCUUUCUCUCUCAGGCUUUGGCUUCUGCUUUUGUUUGGGUGUGGUGAUGGGAUUGGCUGAGUUUUGGGACAUUAUUUUAUGAUUGAUCAGCGAUGGCUUUUUCCCCUC